AACAACUCACCUGCCGAAUGAAUUAGCCCUGAAAAUGGAUGGCGCUCAAGCGGUCAGCCGACACCAGACCGUCUGGCCAAAGUGAAACAUCUGUCCAGAUGAGUAGGAGGGCGUGCCGGUCGUAUCGAAGCAUGCUUGCGAAAGCGUGUGGAACGGCCGGUAGUGCAGAUCUUGGUGUUAGUAGCAAAUAUUCAAGUGAGAUCCUUGAAGGGCGACGCGGGGAAGGGUUCCACGCGAACAUUGAUUGAGCGUGGGUGAGUCGUUCCUAAACCGAGUGGCAAUAGCUAAUUACCGGUGAAAGGGAAGCAGGUUGAUAUUCCUGCACACGGAUUUUUUGGAUUUGCGGUGACGCUCCAAUUGAGGCAAUUACGUUUGCGCUGGAUCUGGGCAGAGUUUUCUUUUCUGUUUAACAAAAACCUUGUGUACGCUGUGGAAUCCGAUUGUCGGGAGAAACAGGUGCAUAUUGGAAUUAGCGGCGGGUUUUUUCCGCCGUCCAGAACCCCAGUGACGAUCCGUGAAACAUUGCCUGCUGGCAUAAAGUAUUUUUUUUUUCGCAAGAAAGAAAAUCUAAACUUUAUGUGGAAAAUAUCCAUGCCGUGACGUACCCAUAACCGCAUCAGGUCCCCAAGGUGAACAGCCUCUGCUUUAUAUGAAGAAU
This 658-nucleotide ribosomal RNA is filed under the name Griffithsia heteromorpha. RNAcentral's name for it is "eukaryotic LSU rRNA". It matches the Rfam family "Eukaryotic large subunit ribosomal RNA", at positions 1284 to 1899 of the family's 3401-position model. The record is from RNAcentral. RNAcentral also lists the same sequence under 1 other name. Lineage: Eukaryota; Rhodophyta; Florideophyceae; Ceramiales; Ceramiaceae.